Molecule: long non-coding RNA, 1548 nt
Filed under: Neodiprion pinetum (white pine sawfly)
Lineage: Eukaryota; Metazoa; Arthropoda; Insecta; Hymenoptera; Diprionidae
Description: uncharacterized LOC124218821
Source: RNAcentral
CCAGGCGAUACAUCAUCGUUAGGCGACUUUAGACACUCACCUAUUUCGGCAUUGCGUCACGUUGCUUUCAGUCAGUAGAAUAGAGACUAUAUUUUACCUUCGGUGACACUGUACCUACGGGCUGAUCUUUAAGGUUAAUUGUGAAGAGAGUGACAGAAUAAUGGGAUUUAGUCGUUGCUCGGAAGUGAGGUCUCGGUACAAAAUGUAAAUACCACCUACGUAUAACUUCUUAAGCGUAUCGAAACUGUCGAUUAGUAAUUGAUACUUGAAUUCAAUAUGGCCGCCUUCGUUAUCGCUUCACUUCCGAUUUUAUUUCGGUGAUGCGAUCAUUUCCAGAGCUUACCAAAUGGCAAAUUUAUCGUUUUCGAGGAUUUUAUGUCUGAGGUUACUCGAAAAAUGAGGUUAUAUAAUGCCACGGACUAUGAAAUCGCAUUAAUAGAUGACAGCACGUGAGAAUUCUUGGUUUGAAAAAUGCAACAAGCCUAGCGCGUUGUACUGAACUUCCUCUUACACGGAAUCAAAUCCGAAGAAAAGAAGCAGCGAAGCAACAGAAUAAAGUUGCAUGGGCAAUUCAAGCAUUCAGGGUAGGACUGAAGAAAAGUUUUAUAGCUAAUUUAAUUCUAUCUGUAAUCCAUAACCAUCAGUAACUUAGAAAUUAGGUACGGAUAGAAAUUAGCGCCACUUUCCGAGUUAACCUAAAUUCGCAACGCCUGUUUCUAAGAACACAACAUGGUUGUCAGGGCGUGAGUAAUUUAUAAAGCAAAAAAGAAAAGUUUUUUUGAAAUAACCGAAAUUCUUUGGUUAGAAAAAACAUUCGUUCCAGGUAUUUUUUACAUGAUAAUUGUCGUAAAUGGCAUUCGACUUGGCAAUGCAAAUUUUAACACCCAAAACUCUGCUUCUCCUUCAUCAAGUGAUGAGAAUUUUUCCAACAAGGUGAAUAAUACUUUUUUUCCGAAGUAUUCAGCCAAGUUGAAUGAACAUCAGUUGCUACAAGAAAUCUUCUCUAUUUCAUUUUCUCUUUGCGAAAUACGGAUAAAGGUAAAUAAUGGAGAAAAAAAUGUAAUACAAGUAAUCGUUCUGGUGAUAUUUUAUAUAUUGACAUAACAUAACUACGCCGACGUGUACAUUAAUGAAUGUCGGUUUCAUUUUGUUAGCUUCCACGAUUGGUUGCAUAUAUUUGAUCGUUGAGAAUUGAUACGUAUAUAUCGUAAAGUAUCAGCGCUUUCGUACACAAGAAUUAAUUUUAAGUAGUUGAAAUGUAUAAUAUUUUAUAUUCAAAUUGUACAAGAAUACUAAUAUUAAUAAAAAAAAAAUUGUGUGCAUUGAUAUUCAAUUAUAAUUCUUAGUUUUCAUGUACAGAAAUAUAAAUACUUAUACGGUGCACAGCAGCAAGAUAGGAAUAUUGUGUGUUUCAAUUGGUUAUACCAAUUUCAAGUGCCAUACGGCAUAAUAAAUAAAAUCAUUGCAAAUGCCACGAUUUUCACUAUUGGAAAUACUUCCAAUUUCCAGAAUCAUUCUGUUAAAUCCCCAGAAAGUGCGUUCAUUCUC